GCCCAGAUAGCUCAGUUGGUAGAGCACGUGACUGAAAAUCACGGUGUCCUUGGUUCAAUUCCGAGUCUGGGCACCA
RNAcentral lists this transfer RNA (76 nucleotides) under Eubacteriales Family XIII. Incertae Sedis bacterium. RNAcentral's name for it is "tRNA-Phe". It matches the Rfam family "tRNA". Rfam says of the family: Transfer RNA (tRNA) molecules are approximately 80 nucleotides in length. Their secondary structure includes four short double-helical elements and three loops (D, anti-codon, and T loops). The record is from RNAcentral. Lineage: Bacteria; Bacillati; Bacillota; Clostridia; Peptostreptococcales; Anaerovoracaceae.